Molecule: transfer RNA, 86 nt
Filed under: compost metagenome
Description: tRNA-Tyr
Rfam family: tRNA
About the family: Transfer RNA (tRNA) molecules are approximately 80 nucleotides in length. Their secondary structure includes four short double-helical elements and three loops (D, anti-codon, and T loops).
Source: RNAcentral
GGAGGGGUGGCCGAGUGGUUGAUGGCGGCAGACUGUAAAUCUGUUCUGUAAAAAGCACACUGGUUCAAAUCCAGUCCUCUCCACCA